UUUGGCGGGAUCUUUGUCUCUCGCUGGCGUUGGCACAGGAACUUGGGAUCCAUCUCCUCUUUCGCCUCCUCCACCUUGGGAGCCCCGGGCUACUCUCUCACAGACCCUGUUGCCCUGUGAUCUGUAGGUCCUUGGGGACCCACAGUUAAGAUACCAGGACAUCCUGGAAGCUGGGAAACGAUUUCUUCCAGACCAUGGCUGGAGAAGUAAAGAAGGUGUGUUUUGCCUGAUUCAGGGACUAUAGAGAGAACCAAGUUCUGCAGGCCUGUCACCUAAGUCUCAGUUGGGAAACUGAGGCCCCAGAAGAGGCAGAAGCUGGUCCAGAUCUCAGGAGGUGGGCAGGCUCCAGAACAUUAGAGAGGGCUCCAGCUUCCUAGGCCUUGGCUCCGUCCCACCGAUCAGAUAUGUAUUCAUUUCCUACCACCGUAGUGGAAGAGAGACUAUCCCUGUCUUUACACCUGGUAGCAUUUCCAAAAGUAAGCUGUGAGAUUCUGCUUGAAAUCACCUCUCAAACAAAUAAAAAACAGACCUGGGAGACAUGCUACACUCAUUCUGCUGAAGAAAUAGUAUAUUUUGCAGACCCAGGCUGGCUUUUCCUUCUGUUCCUGGUUCACCCAGUGCAGUGUGUGCUCAUUGCAUCCUGUGCACGCGUCACUGUGCUGUGUGCUCCUGCCUAGGCAUCAUACCUGGGGAAACAGGGAUUCACAAGACCCAGGCUGUUCCCUACAUAUGUUUCCUCCUCCGACAUCAGUUCAUCAGUCAAUCAAGUCAUGUGAGAGUGGAGGCCAUGUAUUCCCUCUUAUUCUUGAGCACUCUCCUCCAAGGAGGAAAAGGCCAGGAGGUCCUGUUAGAGGAUGCACUCUGAGAGCCCGGGCUCCAUAAGGUGUGAGAGUUCUAACCAGCAGGUGUAGACUUUUCAGGAGUGAGGAAUGAGGCAGGCAUUCCAAACCUGGACCUUCAUCACUUUUUGUUUCAUCUCAAGACAAUUCUGAGGGGCUCUUUUGGAAAGUGUCUGGAAGGUGAACGUUGAAGAAGAGUGUGGGCUUUGAUGUGACUCAGAUGAGAUCUUUCACGGGGAGGAAGGAAUUCAAUGCCCAGAAUCUGGGCUGGUGUCUUUGAGGUCAGUAGGUUGCGUCUUUGUAUCCAAGUCUGUUGUUACUAGGUUGGAGGCUGGAGAUUCUAAAUGGCUUCCAGACCGCCUCUCUGAUUCUCUUUGGGAGAUGGGGUCUCAAAAAGACAAUGUCAGUAUUUUGGGGAAAUUCUAGAAAAUCUGCUUGGAAACGUGGGAAGAGCUCUUGCCUAGUGCCUAAAUGCUCAACGUGCAGCUGUAGCCACGUAGAUGCUUGGUAGGUAUAGAGCUGGGUUUGCAUUUAUAUCAGCAAAACCUAUGUCAGAGUUGAAGAAGUAGUCAGGAAAAAGUGUCUUGGUCGCAGGCCAGGGAACAUCUUAAAAGCAAACUUCUAGCCUGCUGACUCUUGGCAAUGAGUGUUGGAUCCUGGCUAAAGUGCCUUGAAUGCAGCAUGAGGCCAAUCCAUGAAUCCAACUUCUAAUGCAGAAAUGUUAAUAUUUUUUCAGUUUGAAUCAAUCACGGUGAAACUAUCAUGCUAUUGGUUUGCUUACUUUUUAUUAUUUCAUAUAAAAUCUAAGACAAAAUACAUUAAAUGCUUAUUGACAUAUGUAUUUAUUCUUCAUCUGGCUGAUAAUAUCUGCCUAAUUUUAAACUUUCUUCCAUUUUGUAGGUUUCAACUUAUUUUAUUGUAAGAUACUGUUAAAUCUAAUACAGGCAUUGUCACUUUUACAUAUAAUUUUAUUUUAUUUCAUAUAUUUCCUAUUGGCUUUUUACAUUUAAAUUAUCUACCACUUCAUCAUAUAAAAAGCUUCAAUUAUAUUUAAACAGUAAGUCUUUGGAUUUUUUUGUCUUGUAAUUUCCAUAUUACAUAAUAAUGAGAUAAACGUUAAUGUUUUCAGGGUAUUUUAAAUUUUAGAUAAUUACUCAUUGUAUUCAUGUGAAAUUUGUUUUUACUGCAUGUGUGGGUUGGAGGACUGUUUUCACUUCUGAUUCAUCUUUACUCUUAUCUCAUCAGAGCUCAUACCUCUUGUAGUUGGGGGAUUGCAGUUUAUCAUUCCAAUAAAUGGGGCAAAUUCAAUAAUAACAUAAUACAAAUGAGUUUGAAUGCAGGACAGGUCUUCAAAGCAUACACAACAUGGGCCUACAUAUGUACAACAAUAAUAAUUUAUAAGUUACAGUUUGGAUGGAAAGUAAAAGUACAGAAAAUUUGUUAAAGUAAAUUAAAAUGGAGAUCAUGUCUCAAUAAUCUCUGAGCAGACAAAAUCAGUUAGGUCUCAUAAGUGAUCUCAACCUUGCUUGAUUUGCAAAUACAAACAAAACUUAAAUUAUUUCUUGUAGCUGCAUAUUUAAAAAACAGAAAUGAAGCUCAACCAGUCAGGAGUAGCCAACAACCUUGUAUAAAUAGAAACUGUCCAACAAGGUAAACAGGCGAACAAAAAACAAUAAAAAAAGUUGUGCUACCACCAAUCAAAUGAUUUCUUUGUUUCUACAUUUUUCAAAUAAAUACUUGCUUCUUACACUGUCAAUGAAGCACUCAAUAUCUUUCCAUCUGAUAUUUUAUAAUUUAUCAAUUUCUCUUACUCAAAUAAACACUUUGCAAUUUCAUUGUCUCUUAAAUUACUUUUUAGCAGAAUAAGCUAGGAAUAAAUAUUACAAAAAUGUGUAUGGAAUAUGGAAAAAACAUAGAAAGUUUAUGAAAUAUAUGAAUGUAGACAUAAGCAAAUAGACAAUUUGUAUCAUAUUCUUAGUCAGCAAAACUCAAUAUUAUCAACAUCAAUUGUCCUUAAAGUUAUUUAUAAACUCAAUUUUGUUCCUGUAUUGAUACCAUUAAAUAUUGCAAGUACACGUUACUAUAAAAUAUUAUAUAGAUGAAAACGCAAACAAGAAUAGACAAGAAAACUCUGAAAAAAAAAAAACACUGGCAAGCCCUGUGAAAAAUCUUGAUUGAUUAAAAAGCUCAUAGAUCACUGAAACUAAAAAUUCAGAAAUAAACCAAAGUGCCUAAGAAAGUGUCAUACUGCAUCUUGGCUGCUAUAACAAAAUACCUUAGACUGGGUAAAGGAUAAAUAAGAGAAAUGUAUUUUUCACAGUUAUGGAGGCUGGAAAGUGCAAGAUCAAGGCAGCAGCAAAUUUAGUAUAUUGUGAGAGCCCUGUUCCCCAUAGAUGGUACCAUCUCGCACACGGGACAAGGGCAUUCCCUUCAACUUCCUUUGAAAGAGCACUGAUUCCAUUCAUGAAGAUGAAGAACUCUUGGCUUCACCACUUUCCCAAAGUCCUCACGCCUAAAAUUAUACACAUAUGAAUUUGAAAGGGGACAUAAACAUUCAGGCCAUAGCAAUAAGAACUACAUGGGUGAUGGCAUCAUUUAUACAUGAGGUGUAAAAAUGUGAUCUUCUUAACACAAAGGAAAUAAAUGAUUUAUUCUUCAUGGCAUAUACCAAAAUAAAGGUCCAAUGGAAAUAUUUUUUAUAAAGAUAAAUCUAUAUGGCAAAAAAUUAAGUGAUGCUAAGGUUAACCCUACAGGUUGCAUCAGGAUUUUCAAGGUUUCCAGGGAUGAGCAAGGCCCUGGAGUUUCCUCCUGUGACAUUUUCCUGGAAGUUGCUCAUGCUGUUAUUCAAUUUGAAAGUAGAUAAUAUUGUUUGUUUCUCUUCCAAUAUUUACUAAAUUCAAAAUAAUAUAGGGCUCUUUACGCAUAAUUCUCAAACAAUCAUUCAGUCAGUGGGGCUCUGCUGAGGAAGAGCACAGACACAUCCACACAAGUAUAAUGUUCCUCAAAUAGAGGACUUCUCCUUGUACUGGAGCCACCUAUGUUGCACUCGAUCAGAGGCUUUCCCAGGCAAGCAUUUCUCUGCAGCCCUACCACAGUCUUAACCCUGAAAAUCCGACUCAGAAGGUGACGGAUGAACACCCACCCUAGCAUUCUAAUCUAAUGGAUCCUCUCUUAACAAUCCCUUUCAGGGAUCUGGGAUCUUUCCUGGAUUCGUCGACCACACACAGCUAGGCUCAAAAAUUUGGACAGAAACUUUGAUCCUCAUUGGCCCUCCUGCCCUGUCCUACCAGCUUCUCUAGAAGUAUGCUUCUCUAAUUGUUCCUGAGAGACUCUAUCUAAGGGUAUCAACCUGUGCCAAUAUAAUUGAUCUCAUAAAGUGAGAAGGGAAAUAGGCAAGAGUCCAGCUAGCCUAGAAGCAGUGUCUAGGGUUCCUUACCUGAUUUAUGUCUCUGAUUUACCUAAAUAUUGACAAAUACAGAUUCACCUCUAGACAGUAGAAAAACAGAAGGAGAAAUCCCAGUUCAUAGAGGAAGAAGAAAAUGCAAUCAAUGCUGUCUAGAGUCCCGCUUAAGCUCAGCCACAGGGUACUAAGUCUCUUCAGGGAAAAGCAAUUGGUGUCCAUCAUCUGAAAAACUGUGGCCUGGAACCAUGGGCACCGAGAGUGCACACUGCCCACUAGAGUUCCAUGCCUACAUCACGGAGAGAUAGAAUAGUCUCAAAGGAUUCUUAAGAGUAAUGUUGGGACCAAAAGGAGAUGAAUCCACAGCCUCUGCCUUACCGUCUGAUCUAACUAAUAGUAUUUCCAGACCUUUCUGUGGGCUGCACCAGGGGUUGUUCAGAAAGGAAAAAAAGUUGUUAAUGUCCCACCGUUUCCCGUAGCUUCCGAGGUCUGUGUUGUUCACUCCCUAGGUUCCAGGUUGUUUUCCCACUACUUCCACAGAAUCAGUGUGUCUCAUUCCUGUACCUAUAAUUUCAUCUUUAUUCUAGUCGCCCUCUACUUUUUCCUAGACAUUUUAUCUAGUAGA
Gorilla gorilla gorilla (western lowland gorilla) is the source of this 4864-nucleotide long non-coding RNA. RefSeq lists it as uncharacterized. The record is from RefSeq and is a predicted model, not a curated record. Lineage: Eukaryota; Metazoa; Chordata; Mammalia; Primates; Hominidae. The transcript has 6 exons.